UCUGGCUUUCUCUCCAGGAUUCGUUUAGGGUGGUCUACUUUGGACUGCGGUUGCCUGGUCGUCGCGUUGUUGUGGAUAUCGUUCCCGUCAGUUGUUAGUGCUUGCUUAUCAAAUAAACUUCUGUUCGCCAAAGGAUAUCCGCAUCAGGAGCAUAAGAUUAAAGCCCAUUUAAUUGUGAUUAGCACAAUAAAUCGAGCGAUCUCGGAUUCAAAUGCAAUUGCGUUUAAGUUUAAUUUGGAGAAUGUGUGAAGAGCUGCCACCGUCUGCUUAAGCAUGAAUCGCUAUAUAACGCUGACCCAAUUGGGCGAUGGAACCUAUGGGACCGUUGUCUUGGGACAGCGAAAGGACACCGGCGAGAAGGUGGCCAUCAAGCGCAUGAAGCGCAAGUACUACUCCUGGGAAGAGGCCAUGAAUCUUCGGGAGGUUAAGUCGCUGAAAAAACUUUCUCAUCCGAACAUUGUGAAACUGAAGGAGGUUAUCCGGGAGAACGACACUCUGUACUUUGUGUUUGAGUACAUGAAGGAGAACCUCUACCAGAUGAUUAAGGAUCGGGACACACACCUUCCGGAGCCCGAACUGAAGAGCAUUCUCUUCCAGGUUUUAACUGGUCUAGCCUUCAUGCAUCGCCAUGGAUUUUUCCACCGCGACCUGAAACCGGAGAACCUGCUCUGUUCCGGACCGGAACUUAUCAAGAUAGCUGACUUCGGUUUGGCCAGGGAGAUCCGAUCCCGGCCUCCGUUCACGGACUACGUAUCCACGAGAUGGUACCGCGCACCGGAGGUCCUUCUGCACUCCACCAACUACGGCAGCACCAUCGACCUCUGGGCCAUGGGCUGCAUCAUGGCAGAGCUCUACACCUUCCGCCCGCUCUUCCCGGGAAGCAGCGAGGUGGAUCAGCUCUUCAAGAUUUGCUCUGUGCUGGGAACACCAGAGAAGAAUGACUGGCCAGAUGGAUAUCGACUGGCGAGCAUGAUCCACUUCCGCUACCCGGACUGCAUCAAAGUGCCACUGAGCAGCGUCGUCAGUCGCUGCAGCCAAAAUGGACUGGACCUGCUGGAGGACCUGCUGGCCUACGAUCCCGACAAGCGUCCCACAGCCCAGCAGAGUCUCAAGUAUCCGUAUUUCCACGCCCUCAAGCGAAUCUCGCCCACGGCCGCCACCAAGGCGAAUGUGCGACUCAGUUCCAAAUACAAUGCGGCAGCCAAUGGCCAUUCGGUUCAGAGUGUCUCCAACAAUGUGCUUCCGGUGCAGGAGAAGCUGCAGGCGGUCACGGAGUUGCUCCACCAGAGCAACAACAACAACAAUAGUAUCCAUAAUCAAAUAUCCAAUUUGGGCAAGAACAACAAUUUGUCGGUUAAGAACGGUGGAAUGCCAAGGAAGUACCAACCGAAGCUCAGCUUCCUGACCAGUCAUGAAAUGGGUGCAGGUUCACUGGCGGAUUCUUCUAGCUUGGGAGGCGCCACAACGGAUGGAGUCCAAGUGCCACAGCUGCAAAACGGCGGAGGAGGAGGAGCAGAAUCCAUCAAUGACAUCUACUUGAAUCGCAACAUAACGCAGCUCUUUGGUUUGCCAGCGGGGGCACAGCACCACCAGCAGGUGCACCACCCGAACGUGUCCUUCAGCACCACCACUUCCCGCAACGCUGGAGCGAUCUAUGUGAAUGGGAGCCACCUCAGCUACGAUACGGCCAACAUGAAUGCCAAGAACAAUGCCACCAAGUUGGUGGUGGGUGCCGCCAAUGGUGGCUACUACGUUCCGGUGGCCAGGCCAUCGCUCCUCGGUCCCGAGGCCAAAGUGUACAACGUGUUCUCCAAGGUCAGUGCCAGCCAGGCUCCUCCGAGCCUCAUCGUUCGCCAGCCACAAAUGCAGCCGGACGGAGGACCACCGAACAUGAGACUCUCGGGAAGAUCUCGAGCUGCUGCCCAGGAAUCCAGGACGGGUGCUCUCAAGUCCGACGAUCUGGAUCUGAUACUCGGCUCCAAGCUGAAAACCUCCGCGAAGCGUCAGCGAAAUGCCAAGGCGAACAUCCUGCUGGAGGACCUCUUUGGCCAGCUAUCCAUGGACUCGGACAGCGACGGGAAGUAUCCGCACACGGUGCCGCCCACGCAGCAGGCGAAGAGCGGAAAGACGUCGACGGGAGGUCCUCGCGAAAGGGAUCUCUUCGGGGAGAGCUUCCUGCCGAGACCGGGACUAAGGAAGAAGGCCACCCAGAGCAGCCUGGAGGUGAACAAUGGCAGCCACGCGGAUUCGCUAGCUCAAAACACGCAAAAGGAAAAACCCGUGGUGGCAGCCAAUUUCCCUUGGGAUGAGACCAACAAGACGGAGGAUGAGAAGCUGACCGCUUGGAUGGUGGCCGAGAACGGUAACUUGGUUUUGGGUAGUCAUCAACAAGCGUAGAAAUCGAGAGCACACCACUCCAAUCCACUAAAAUGUAGUUACUUAGAAUUCACCCAAUUGGAACUUGCAAAUGGAUCGCUGCUGGAGAAUAAGUUCUGAGGAGAUCGACUUGCGAAAUGCCGUUGUACCUGAAACUGAAUGGAAUGAAUUCAAGUGCCUGUUGAUCUGCAUAUUUUCGAACUGAAUCCGAAUCAAAAUCCAAAUCACCAAGCCAUGGAGCCAUGGGAAUCGUUGGAUCGGCGUGUAGAGUUAGUCUAGUUUCGAUAUAAUGUUUUAUUGCUGUGAUACAAUUAAGCUAAACUAUUGUGUAAAGUAGCCUACGAACUUGAGCCUCGAGUGUAAGUUGUACUCUAAGCUACCUAUACGAUAAUAUAUAAUCCGAGUGAGUUUUGAA
This is an RNA transcript of Drosophila ficusphila, 2791 nucleotides long. It is a transcript of the gene named serine/threonine-protein kinase ICK, with no coding region annotated. The transcript has 8 exons. NCBI's taxonomy places the organism in Eukaryota, Metazoa, Arthropoda, Insecta, Diptera, Drosophilidae. The record is from RefSeq and is a predicted model, not a curated record.